GGUUCUGUAGCUCAGCAUGGAUAGAGCGCCACGCCGCUUCUUCGGUUACUGCAUACUCUGAAGAUAUGAUUUCGCGAUAAAGGCUACACAUGGGAGGUCGCUGGUUCAAAUCCAGUCAGAACCC
Molecule: transfer RNA, 124 nt
Filed under: Vibrio alginolyticus
Lineage: Bacteria; Pseudomonadati; Pseudomonadota; Gammaproteobacteria; Vibrionales; Vibrionaceae
Description: tRNA-OTHER
Rfam family: tRNA
About the family: Transfer RNA (tRNA) molecules are approximately 80 nucleotides in length. Their secondary structure includes four short double-helical elements and three loops (D, anti-codon, and T loops).
Source: RNAcentral